This 253-nucleotide ribosomal RNA is filed under the name uncultured bacterium. RNAcentral's name for it is "partial 16S ribosomal RNA". It matches the Rfam family "Bacterial small subunit ribosomal RNA", at positions 524 to 776 of the family's 1533-position model. The record is from RNAcentral.
UACGGAGGGUGCGAGCGUUGUCCGGAAUCACUGGGCGUAAAGGGCGCGUAGGCGGCCCGGUAAGUAGGAGGUGAAAUCCUGAGGCUCAACCUCAGGGCUGCCUUCUAAACUGCCAGGCUCGAGCACAGUAGAGGCAGGUGGAAUUCCCGGUGUAGCGGUGAAAUGCGUAGAUAUUGGGAGGAACACCGGUGGCGAAGGCGGCUAUCUGGACCGGUACUGACGCUGAGGUGCGAAAGCGUGGGGAGCAAACAGG